Unclassified non-coding RNA from Vulpes vulpes (red fox), 292 nucleotides. Its record names the gene 7SK. It matches the Rfam family "7SK RNA". Rfam says of the family: 7SK was discovered as an abundant small nuclear RNA in the mid-70s but a possible function has only recently been suggested. Two independent studies have found that 7SK RNA binds the CDK9/cyclin T complex (known as elongation factor P-TEFb). P-TEFb activates transcription by phosphorylating the C-terminal domain of RNA polymerase II. The record is from Ensembl. Lineage: Eukaryota; Metazoa; Chordata; Mammalia; Carnivora; Canidae.
UGAUGCAUUUCGAAUAUUGAGCCAUCGUUGCAUUUCUGUUUGAGUCUUUCUCAGUUACAUUGUCCUGUACGACUGGAUGGGGUUUUCUACACUUGUACUGAGAUGAUUCUGGAGUGAGACUGGCCUUCGCCAUAGAGGAGGAUGGCUCCUUGCUCGAGGGCAUCCGAGCUCCCUGUGCUAGAACCCCCAAACCAGGGCUCAGCUCCGUCUGUAGGAGGAUGUAGGCUAGUCAAGCUCCCAGGACUCCAGACACAUACAAGUGAGCUGCUACCUGCGGCAGUCUGCCUUUUUU